UCUUGUUAGAGUGGAAGACAGGUGCGUGGCGAAGGAGAGGUAAUCGCUGCCAAGUCACUUAAUAGUGCAGCGCUAGUUCUAGUGUGCGUUUUCAGGCUGGUGUUUUAAGUCGUUUUUGAAGCUCCCUCAAAUGUUUGCGGUCUAAAGAACUUACGCAGUUGAUAACUUUUGGUGUGUUGGUGAAUGGAUGGUGUGAAUUCGUUACAGGUUUUUUCUGUAGCUACUGUUUAUUUCUUUAAAUGAAAUGGAGGCUGCAAAUGUUAGAUUUCAGAGUAGAAGUUCUCUACCACAUUUUUGAUAAGUCUGCUUGUAACUUACACAGCUUCAAUUUAGCCUGAAAUUCUUGUGCUGGUAGUAAAGAAACAGAACAACUUAUUCCUGUGUGUCAAGACAAUUAACUCUAAGACUUCUAUUUCUUCAUCUUUAAAAAUGUUACAGAUUGGAAAAAAAAAUCAUAACUUUUUUCUCUGAAUAUAUAUUUUAGUCUCUUUGUCCUUUUUUCCCUUUCACUCCUUUAUUCUUACACACUUUAAAGCAAUGCUUAUGUAACUUCUUGUUUACUCUGCUGAAUUGAAUGUGUUCUGAGAUUGUGUUCCCUUUUUCAGUGUACACGUUUUAAAUCUUCUUUACUUCUCAAUGCAGACACUUCAUGGAUCCUGAUUAGAAACAAGAUGAGAAGUCAUCAGAAAGAAAGAUUAAAAAUUGAAUCUGCCUCUUAUUUGUCAUCAGAAUGAAUGGAAAGGAACUCCACAGCAUAUGAUUUAUGCCUUGUUCUUUCUAUAUUGAACAUGAAGAGUUAAAGCCAUUUGUUUUCACACCUCAUCUCAUUGUCAUCACACCUCACUUUGAAGAAAUAACACCAGUGAGCAAAUUUCCUGUCACUAUGAAAGCCAAUUAGAGAAGGAGCUAUCAAUGACAGAGGUGGAUUCUGUUACUGCAUAAGGAAUGAGUUCUGCCAACUUUAUGAGAAAGGUAUAAUAUAUCGAUGUGACAUUGUUUUCCUUAAAAAUCUCUCAUUUUUUGUUUUUAGUUUGAAAAGAAUGUCUGUGAGAAAGCAGACUACCAAUUCAUUUCACAGACAUUGCUUAGUAUUUAUCAGAUGAUUGCUAGAUGAUUGAAGCACUGAAAUUCAGCUAGUGACCUAGUCUUAGGAAGCAUCUAUUAUCAAUCAUGUUAAGCUAUAGGAGGGAUGGAG
RNAcentral lists this long non-coding RNA (1195 nucleotides) under Apteryx owenii (little spotted kiwi). RNAcentral describes it as "lncRNA (ENSAOWG00000000134.1)". Lineage: Eukaryota; Metazoa; Chordata; Aves; Apterygiformes; Apterygidae. The record is from RNAcentral.